Molecule: ribosomal RNA, 468 nt
Filed under: uncultured bacterium
Lineage: Bacteria
Description: partial 16S ribosomal RNA
Rfam family: Bacterial small subunit ribosomal RNA
Source: RNAcentral
GACGAACGCUGGCGGCGUGCUUAACACAUGCAAGUCGAACGGAAAGGCCCUGCUUUUGUGGGGUGCUCGAGUGGCGAACGGGUGAGUAACACGUGAGUAACCUGCCCUUGACUUUGGGAUAACUUCAGGAAACUGGGGCUAAUACCGGAUAGGAGCUCCUGCUGCAUGGUGGGGGUUGGAAAGUUUCGGCGGUUGGGGAUGGACUCGCGGCUUAUCAGCUUGUUGGUGGGGUAGUGGCUUACCAAGGCUUUGACGGGUAGCCGGCCUGAGAGGGUGACCGGCCACAUUGGGACUGAGAUACGGCCCAGACUCCUACGGGAGGCAUCAGUGGGGAAUAUUGCACAAUGGGCGGAAGCCGGAUGCAGCAACGCCGCGUGCGGGAUGACGGCCUUCGGGUUGUAAACCGCUUUCGCCUGUGACGAAGCGUGAGUGACGGUAAUGGGUAAAGAAGCACCGGCUAACUACGUG